This 465-nucleotide ribosomal RNA is filed under the name Vreelandella stevensii. RNAcentral describes it as "partial 16S ribosomal RNA". It matches the Rfam family "Bacterial small subunit ribosomal RNA", at positions 338 to 795 of the family's 1533-position model. The record is from RNAcentral. Lineage: Bacteria; Pseudomonadati; Pseudomonadota; Gammaproteobacteria; Oceanospirillales; Halomonadaceae.
CCUACGGGGGGCUGCAGUGGGGAAUAUUGGACAAUGGGGGCAACCCUGAUCCAGCCAUGCCGCGUGUGUGAAGAAGGCCCUCGGGUUGUAAAGCACUUUCAGUGAGGAAGAACGCCUGGUGGUUAAUACCCAUCAGGAAAGACAUCACUCACAGAAGAAGCACCGGCUAACUCCGUGCCAGCAGCCGCGGUAAUACGGAGGGUGCGAGCGUUAAUCGGAAUUACUGGGCGUAAAGCGCGCGUAGGUGGCUUGAUAAGCCGGUUGUGAAAGCCCCGGGCUCAACCUGGGAACGGCAUCCGGAACUGUCAAGCUAGAGUGCAGGAGAGGAAGGUAGAAUUCCCGGUGUAGCGGUGAAAUGCGUAGAGAUCGGGAGGGAUACCAGUGGCGAAGGCGGCCUUCUGGACUGACACUGACACUGAGGUGCGAAAGCGUGGGUAGCAAACAGGAUUAGAUACCCUUGUAGUA